ACGGCUGGCAGGCCAGGAAUAAACUACAAUGUAAGUGCGAGUAGGCGCGGAAGAGUGCUUUGUCUCUAUGUGAUUAAGCGGCCGGACGGGGUGAAGUAAUGGUUUGGGAAUACUGCCCUAGAUGGGAGGGGGACUAACAUAUUGAAAAGGAAUGGUUUAUUCCCGCCUUACGUCUCUACAGGAGAAAGCAGGGGGAUCUUUGGGACCUUGAUGUAAUAGAAGAUCCCAAGUUGGAUUAGGUUGUUGGUGGGGUAAAGGCCUAACAUGGGGGAGAUUCCUAGGGGGUUUGAGAAGAAGGUCCGCCACAAUGGGAAUGAGACCAGGCCCCGAAUUCUAAGGGAGGCCGCCAUGGGGAAUUUUGGACAAAGGGGGCCAGCCUGAUCCCACCCUGCCGGGUGUUAGAAGAAGGCCUUUUGGUUGUAAAGCAAUUUUAGGGAGGGGGGAAGUAGUUAAGUUAAUACACAGAGAUAAUGGACGUUACUCGCAGAAUAAGCACCGGCUAACUCUGUGCCAGCAGCCGCGGUAAUACAGAGGGUGCAAGCGUUAAUCGGAUUUACUGGGCGUAAAGCGCACGUAGGCGGUUAAUUAAGUCAAAUGUGAAAUCCCCGAGCUCAACUUGGGAAUUGCAUUCGAUACUGGCUAGCUAGAGUGUGGUAGAGGAUGGUAGAAUUCCAGGUGUAGCGGUGAAAUGCGUAGAGAUCUGGAGGAAUACCGAUGGCGAAGGCAGCCAUCUGGCCUAACACUGACGCUCAGGUGCGAAAGCAUGGGGAGCAAACAGGAUUAGAUACCCUGGUAGUCCAUGCCGUAAACGAUGUCUAUUAGCAGGUGGUGGCCUUUGAGGCUUUACUUGCCGCAGCUAACGCGAUAAAGUAGACCGCCUGGAGA
Molecule: ribosomal RNA, 885 nt
Filed under: Acinetobacter pittii
Lineage: Bacteria; Pseudomonadati; Pseudomonadota; Gammaproteobacteria; Moraxellales; Moraxellaceae
Description: bacterial SSU rRNA
Rfam family: Bacterial small subunit ribosomal RNA
Source: RNAcentral